This 72-nucleotide transfer RNA is filed under the name Candidatus Heimdallarchaeota archaeon. RNAcentral's name for it is "tRNA-Ala". It matches the Rfam family "tRNA". Rfam says of the family: Transfer RNA (tRNA) molecules are approximately 80 nucleotides in length. Their secondary structure includes four short double-helical elements and three loops (D, anti-codon, and T loops). Lineage: Archaea; Promethearchaeati; Candidatus Heimdallarchaeota. The record is from RNAcentral. RNAcentral also lists the same sequence under 3 other names.
GGGGUCGUGGAUUAGUGGAAGAUCGUUCGCUUGGCAUGCGAAAGGCCGCGGGUUCAAUUCCCGCCGACUCCA